This 2184-nucleotide unclassified non-coding RNA is filed under the name Nilaparvata lugens (brown planthopper). RNAcentral describes it as "homeobox protein Hox-B1b, transcript variant X1". The record is from RNAcentral. Lineage: Eukaryota; Metazoa; Arthropoda; Insecta; Hemiptera; Delphacidae.
AAGAAAUGAACCAGCAGUGACGAAAAAGUACAGUGCGGUCCCGGAAGUUGCCAUGUCGAGUCGUAUCGAGUAACUCGUGCCGUUCCUUGUGUUUCGUGCUGCCGGGUCGUUGUAUGUCGUGCCAUAAUAUAUGCCGUAAGAUAUCCACAUCAGUCAGUACAUGCAGUUGGGCUGAGAGAAACGCAUGCGCGUAGGUGAAUUAUUAUUAACAGUGUGCCGAAACAGAGUCCAACGCCGGAGUUCCAGCCAAACAGCUACGUUAGUGGGAGUCUGGUUGGUGGAGGGGCAAGCCCCCUGCUAGGGGCACACGCUGGGGGUCUCCUAGGUCCCAAUGCCCUGCUAAACAACAGCGGCAGGACCAAUUUCACCAACAAGCAGCUCACCGAAUUAGAAAAAGAGUUCCAUUUCAAUAAGUACUUGACAAGAGCGAGGAGGAUUGAAAUCGCUUCUGCGUUGCAGUUGAAUGAAACUCAGGUUAAAAUCUGGUUUCAAAAUAGGAGAAUGAAGCAGAAGAAACGCAUGAAAGAAGGCCUGGUGGCAGCUGAGAGCCUGACGGGGGUGAACAGCUCACAGGGCUGUGUACUGUCUGGUGCAAGCAGUACUAGCAACUCCCCCACCACAGCCAUGCUUCCUGACGAUGGACGAGACACGUGAAACUUAUUCUCCGCCGACACUUUUGUGAUCUGAAUCAAUCGACGAUCUCAUCCUAACUACCAACUUUUGAUCUCUUCCAGGAAGUGACUGAAGAUUUGAUAAUGAAAUGUGUAUUAUAACACUGGUGUGGGAGUGUUACAAGUAUACAUUUUCUUGGAAUAAAGCAUUAUUAUUGUUUCAUUUGACUGAUGUUAUCUUUGGAGUUUGAGUGGUGUAUUUUUGGUUGAAAAUGAACACUGUAUGCAACAUAUCUCAAAUUUUAUCAUGAAAUUUAAUUUCAAAUUUCCAUGUAUUUCAAGGAGUUGUCCUGAGACACCUUAAAAUGAUAGAUUUCAAUUUUUUAUUUUGUGUUUUUAAUAGAGUUGAAAAAAUUCCCCUAUUAUCUUGGAAAAGUCUACUUAUUGUUUCAGAUUCAAUGGAGUUUAUUUGGAUUAUCCACCUUAAAAUGAUAGAUUUCAUUUUUUUAUUUUAAGUUUUUAAUAGAGGUGAAAAAUUCCCUUAUUAUCUUGGAAAAGUCUACUUAUUGUUUCAGAUUCAAUGUAAUUUAUUUGGAUUAUCCAAUCUUCUAAUAUUAACUGUAGGCUUUUCAAGAAAAUUAUUAUGUCUUUUCGAAAUCAUUUAUUUUUCGAAGGUAUUUAAGAAAUUAUUCUCCUGAUGAUUUGCAGCUUUAAAAAAUUUACUGGUUGAUUUCUCAUCUUCAAAUACAACUGUAGGCUAAUUCUGUUACUAGCAAAUAUCUUCGGCAGAAUGAGAAUUAAAGUUGUGAAAUUGCUCCAUAAUUUGAAUAGCUGAAGAUGUGCUGGUUUCAGCACGAAACUGCAGAUCUGUAUUAAUGUCUAAUAAAUAACGUGGAUGUGACAAGUAAAACUGUGUUUUCCAGGAAUGAAAAUUUAUUCUCAAAUAUCAUAGUUAGGAUCUCGAAAUAUAUUUUUUAACUGCUGCUCACCAAAAAUUACAUUCCAUCAUCUUGAUAUCAUGAAUUCACUUCUAUUACAUCUAGGAGAGAAGUGAUCCAUCGUUUUCAAUCAAUAAAAUAUAUAAUUGAUUUAGAUAUCAGCUCACUAUCAUGAUACAGUCAAAAUAGAGUUUGACUGAAAAAGCCAGAACUAUCACUACUUAUUUCUGAACUUAUUAUUUUAAAUGAAUACUGGAGUACAGAAGUCAAACUGAAUUUUUGUCUGCUAAUACAUUUUUAAGUAAAUGUUCCGCAAGACAUUCACCACGGAUUUGUUCCUAUAAGUUAUUGUGAAGAGGAUGAAUUAUAAUUUAUAGUUAUACGGUAACUAUUUUCACUAAUCUUGGUUGUAAAAAUGUGAACGAGAAUGGCUAUUCAAUAACAAUAUGAUUGAAAUACAGUGAAAAUUAUUCUCACUUGUAUGUGUGUAAAUAAUGUUGUUUUCAAUAGGCUAUUUUCAAAUUGAUUGAUUGUCCGUCUACAUACUAAGUCAUUAAUAUAACAUUAUAAUCUGUGUAAUUUACUACUAUAAGGAAGUGUUAAAUUCAAAUAAAAUGGAUACAUGUAUGUGUAAA